Molecule: long non-coding RNA, 756 nt
Filed under: Rattus norvegicus (Norway rat)
Lineage: Eukaryota; Metazoa; Chordata; Mammalia; Rodentia; Muridae
Description: long non-coding RNA NONRATT002667
Source: RNAcentral
GAGCUUGCUACUUGCACUAGAAGAUGCAAAUCCCUCUGGGCCCGCCCCAUUUACCUGGACCACCAGGAGGUCCACCUCCCUCCAGUUCUGACGCUACCUGCCCUAAGUGUCCCCCCCUCACCUGGUCGAAGAGGUAGACGGUCACGUCCCCGUGGAAGGAGACCAUCUUGCGCUUCCUCUCCAGUUCGCUGUCCUCUGGCUCGUCGGCCGCGCGUGGAGACUUGAGCAGCCCCCGCAGCGGGCGGGCCGUGUCCCCGUCGGCGCUGCUCACCACGACGGGCACUGGGGCUUCCCGCGUCCUCCCGGGUCCCCGAGAGCCCGCUGCCUCCUCGUCCUCCUCGUCCUCGUCCUCGUCCUCCCCGUCCUCCUCCGCUGGCCCCGGCGCCCCCGCCCCGCCGGCCUCCCCGCCAGCUGCCCCUGCGUCCGCGCCCUCCCAAGGUGGCCGCCGCGGGCCCGGGCCCGGGAACGGCGUGAGCGUGAGCGGUGGGAGCGCCAGCGAGAGCCGGGAGAGUUUGGCUGCAAGGGGAGAAGACAGGUGAGCUCCUGCCCGGGACAAUGAGUCAGGCUCUGCCCACAGCUCUAUGCAGAGGGGCUCCCGAGGGCCUUUCUGUGUGCAGAGUGAGAGAUUCCUCCCCACUGCAAGGCAUGAUCUCAGCACUCAGAGCAAGAAGCUUCUUCCUCAGCAUCUGAGCCUCAGGCCCCUUGUUCUCUCCAUUCUGAACCAGGCUCUUUAAGGACUCCCUAUUUUCACACACC